This 1091-nucleotide ribosomal RNA is filed under the name Salmonella enterica subsp. enterica serovar Infantis. RNAcentral describes it as "partial 23S ribosomal RNA". It matches the Rfam family "Bacterial large subunit ribosomal RNA", at positions 690 to 1772 of the family's 2925-position model. The record is from RNAcentral. Lineage: Bacteria; Pseudomonadati; Pseudomonadota; Gammaproteobacteria; Enterobacterales; Enterobacteriaceae. RNAcentral also lists the same sequence under 1 other name.
GGGCGUUAAGUUGCAGGGUAUAGACCCGAAACCCGGUGAUCUAGCCAUGGGCAGGUUGAAGGUUGGGUAACACUAACUGGAGGACCGAACCGACUAAUGUUGAAAAAUUAGCGGAUGACCUGUGGCUGGGGGUGAAAGGCCAAUCAAACCGGGAGAUAGCUGGUUCUCCCCGAAAGCUAUUUAGGUAGCGCCUCGUGAAUUCAUCUCCGGGGGUAGAGCACUGUUUCGGCUAGGGGGCCAUCCCGGCUUACCAACCCGAUGCAAACUGCGAAUACCGGAGAAUGUUAUCACGGGAGACACACGGCGGGUGCUAACGUCCGUCGUGAAGAGGGAAACAACCCAGACCGCCAGCUAAGGUCCCAAAGUCAUGGUUAAGUGGGAAACGAUGUGGGAAGGCCCAGACAGCCAGGAUGUUGGCUUAGAAGCAGCCAUCAUUUAAAGAAAGCGUAAUAGCUCACUGGUCGAGUCGGCCUGCGCGGAAGAUGUAACGGGGCUAAACCAUGCACCGAAGCUGCGGCAGCGACACUCAGGUGUUGUUGGGUAGGGGAGCGUUCUGUAAGCCUGCGAAGGUGGCCUGUGAGGGUUGCUGGAGGUAUCAGAAGUGCGAAUGCUGACAUAAGUAACGAUAAAGCGGGUGAAAAGCCCGCUCGCCGGAAGACCAAGGGUUCCUGUCCAACGUUAAUCGGGGCAGGGUGAGUCGACCCCUAAGGCGAGGCCGAAAGGCGUAGUCGAUGGGAAACGGGUUAAUAUUCCCGUACUUGGUGUUACUGCGAAGGGGGGACGGAGAAGGCUAUGUUGGCCGGGCGACGGUUGUCCCGGUUUAAGCGUGUAGGUGUGUGUUCCAGGUAAAUCCGGUUCACUUUAACACUGAGGCGUGAUGACGAGGCACUACGGUGCUGAAGCAACAAAUGCCCUGCUUCCAGGAAAAGCCUCUAAGCAUCAGGUAACAUCAAAUCGUACCCCAAACCGACACAGGUGGUCAGGUAGAGAAUACCAAGGCGCUUGAGAGAACUCGGGUGAAGGAACUAGGCAAAAUGGUGCCGUAACUUCGGGAGAAGGCACGCUGACACGUAGGUGAAGUGAUUUACUCA